Molecule: ribosomal RNA, 253 nt
Filed under: uncultured bacterium
Lineage: Bacteria
Description: partial 16S ribosomal RNA
Rfam family: Bacterial small subunit ribosomal RNA
Source: RNAcentral
UACAGAGGGGGCAAGCGUUGUUCGGAAUUACUGGGCGUAAAGGGCGCGUAGGCGGCCGCCUAAGUCAGACGUGAAAUCCCUCGGCUCAACCGGGGAGCUGCGUCUGAUACUGGGUGGCUUGAAUCCGGGAGAGGGAUGCGGAAUUCCAGGUGUAGCGGUGAAAUGCGUAGAUAUCUGGAGGAACACCGGUGGCGAAGGCGGCAUCCUGGACCGGCAUUGACGCUGAGGCGCGAAAGCCAGGGGAGCAAACAGG